Molecule: ribosomal RNA, 530 nt
Filed under: uncultured bacterium
Lineage: Bacteria
Description: bacterial SSU rRNA
Rfam family: Bacterial small subunit ribosomal RNA
Source: RNAcentral
CGUUGUCCGGAUUAUUGGGCGUAAAGCGCGCGCAGGCGGAUUGGUCAGUCUGUCUUAAAAGUUCGGGGCUUAACCCCGUGAUGGGAUGGAAACUGCCAAUCUAGAGUAUCGGAGAGGAAAGUGGAAUUCCUAGUGUAGCGGUGAAAUGCGUAGAUAUUAGGAAGAACACCAGUGGCGAAGGCGACUUUCUGGACGAAAACUGACGCUGAGGCGCGAAAGCCAGGGGAGCGAACGGGAUUAGAUACCCCGGUAGUCCUGGCCGUAAACGAUGGGUACUAGGUGUAGGAGGUAUCGACCCCUUCUGUGCCGGAGUUAACGCAAUAAGUACCCCGCCUGGGGAGUACGACCGCAAGGUUGAAACUCAAAGGAAUUGACGGGGGCCCGCACAAGCGGUGGAGUAUGUGGUUUAAUUCGACGCAACGCGAAGAACCUUACCAGGUCUUGACAUUGAUGGACAGAACCAGAGAUGGUUCCUCUUCUUCGGAAGCCAGAAAACAGGUGGUGCACGGUUGUCGUCAGCUCGUGUCGUG